UGAGGAAUAUUGGUCAAUGGACGAGAGUCUGAACCAGCCAAGUAGCGUGAAGGAUGAAGGUUCUAUGGAUUGUAAACUUCUUUUAUACGGGAAUAAACGAAUCCACGUGUGGAUUUUUGCAUGUACCGUAUGAAUAAGGAUCGGCUAACUCCGUGCCAGCAGCCGCGGUAAUACGGAGGAUCCGAGCGUUAUCCGGAUUUAUUGGGUUUAAAGGGAGCGUAGAUGGGUUGUUAAGUCAGUUGUGAAAGUUUGCGGCUCAACCGUAAAAUUGCAAUUGAUACUGGCAGUCUUGAGUACAGUUGAGGUAGGCGGAAUUCGUGGUGUAGCGGUGAAAUGCUUAGAUAUCACGAAGAACUCCGAUUGCGAAGGCAGCUUACUAACCUGUAACUGACAUUGAUGC
Molecule: ribosomal RNA, 400 nt
Filed under: uncultured bacterium
Lineage: Bacteria
Description: bacterial SSU rRNA
Rfam family: Bacterial small subunit ribosomal RNA
Source: RNAcentral